CGAACGAACUCUGGUAUUGAUUGGUGCUUGCAUCAUGAUUUACAUUUGAGUGAGUGGCGAACUGGUGAGUAACACGUGGGAAACCUGCCCAGAAGCGGGGGAUAACACCUGGAAACAGAUGCUAAUACCGCAUAACAACUUGGACCGCAUGGUCCGAGCUUGAAAGAUGGCUUCGGCUAUCACUUUUGGAUGGUCCCGCGGCGUAUUAGCUAGAUGGUGGGGUAACGGCUCACCAUGGCAAUGAUACGUAGCCGACCUGAGAGGGUAAUCGGCCACAUUGGGACUGAGACACGGCCCAAACUCCUACGGGAGGCAGCAGUAGGGAAUCUUCCACAAUGGACGAAAGUCUGAUGGAGCAACGCCGCGUGAGUGAAGAAGGGUUUCGGCUCGUAAAACUCUGUUGUUAAAGAAGAACAUAUCUGAGAGUAACUGUUCAGGUAUUGACGGUAUUUAACCAGAAAGCCACGGCUAACUACGUGCCAGCAGCCGCGGUAAUACGUAGGUGGCAAGCGUUGUCCGGAUUUAUUGGGCGUAAAGCGAGCGCAGGCGGUUUUUUAAGUCUGAUGUGAAAGCCUUCGGCUCAACCGAAGAAGUGCAUCGGAAACUGGGAAACUUGAGUGCAGAAGAGGACAGUGGAACUCCAUGUGUAGCGGUGAAAUGCGUAGAUAUAUGGAAGAACACCAGUGGCGAAGGCGGCUGUCUGGUCUGUAACUGACGCUGAGGCUCGAAAGUAUGGGUAGCAAACAGGAUUAGAUACCCUGGUAGUCCAUACCGUAAACGAUGAAUGCUAAGUGUUGGAGGGUUUCCGCCCUUCAGUGCUGCAGCUAACGCAUUAAGCAUUCCGCCUGGGGAGUACGGCCGCAAGGCUGAAACUCAAAGGAAUUGACGGGGGCCCGCACAAGCGGUGGAGCAUGUGGUUUAAUUCGAAGCUACGCGAAGAACCUUACCAGGUCUUGACAUACUAUGCAAAUCUAAGAGAUUAGACGUUCCCUUCGGGGACAUGGAUACAGGUGGUGCAUGGUUGUCGUCAGCUCGUGUCGUGAGAUGUUGGGUUAAGUCCCGCAACGAGCGCAACCCUUAUUAUCAGUUGCCAGCAUUAAGUUGGGCACUCUGGUGAGACUGCCGGUGACAAACCGGAGGAAGGUGGGGAUGACGUCAAAUCAUCAUGCCCCUUAUGACCUGGGCUACACACGUGCUACAAUGGAUGGUACAACGAGUUGCGAACUCGCGAGAGUAAGCUAAUCUCUUAAAGCCAUUCUCAGUUCGGAUUGUAGGCUGCAACUCGCCUACAUGAAGUCGGAAUCGCUAGUAAUCGCGGAUCAGCAUGCCGCGGUGAAUACGUUCCCGGGCCUUGUACACACCGCCCGUCACACCAUGAGAGUUUGUAACACCCAAAGUCGGUGGGGUAACCUUUUAGGAACCAGCCGC
Molecule: ribosomal RNA, 1428 nt
Filed under: Lactiplantibacillus plantarum
Lineage: Bacteria; Bacillati; Bacillota; Bacilli; Lactobacillales; Lactobacillaceae
Description: bacterial SSU rRNA
Rfam family: Bacterial small subunit ribosomal RNA
Source: RNAcentral